Molecule: ribosomal RNA, 255 nt
Filed under: uncultured bacterium
Lineage: Bacteria
Description: partial 16S ribosomal RNA
Rfam family: Bacterial small subunit ribosomal RNA
Source: RNAcentral
UACAGAGGUCCCAAGCGUUGUUCGGAUUCACUGGGCGUAAAGGGUGCGUAGGCGGUCGGGUAAGUCUGAUGUGAAAUCUCACAGCUUAACUGUGAAACUGCAUUGGAUACUAUUCGGCUUGAGAGUUGGAGGGGGGGACUGGAAUUCUUGGUGUAGCAGUGAAAUGCGUAGAUAUCAAGAGGAACACCAGUGGCGAAGGCGAGUCCCUGGACAACUUCUGACGCUGAGGCACGAAAGCUAGGGGGAGCAAACAGG